GCCUUCGUGGUGUAGUGGUCUCCAUGCUGGACGCGUAACCGAGAGGUCCGUGGUUCGAUUCCCGGCGAAGGCG
Molecule: non-coding RNA, 73 nt
Organism: Stegodyphus mimosarum
Lineage: Eukaryota; Metazoa; Arthropoda; Arachnida; Araneae; Eresidae
Source: Rfam